This 253-nucleotide ribosomal RNA is filed under the name uncultured bacterium. RNAcentral describes it as "partial 16S ribosomal RNA". It matches the Rfam family "Bacterial small subunit ribosomal RNA", at positions 524 to 776 of the family's 1533-position model. The record is from RNAcentral.
UACAGGGGGGGCAAGCGUUGUUCGGAGUUACUGGGCGUAAAGGGCUCGUAGGUGGCCAACUAAGUCAGACGUGAAAUCCCUCAGCUUAACUGGGGAACUGCGUCUGAUACUGGAUGGCUUGAGUUUGGGAGAGGGAUGCGGAAUUCCAGGUGUAGCGGUGAAAUGCGUAGAUAUCUGGAGGAACACCGGUGGCGAAGGCGGCAUCCUGGACCAACACUGACACUGAGGAGCGAAAGCCAGGGGAGCAAACGGG